CUACGGAGGGUGCAAGCGUUACUCGGAAUCACUGGGCGUAAAGCGCGCGCAGGCGGCUUGAUAAGUUGGAUGUGAAAGCCUACGGCUCAACCGUAGAACUGCAUCCAAAACUGUCAGGCUAGAGUGUGGGAGAGGAAGAUGGAAUUAGUUGUGUAGGGGUAAAAUCCGUAGAGAUAACUAGGAAUACCUAAAGCGAAGGCAAUCUUCUGGAACACUACUGACGCUCAUGCACGAAAGCGUGGGGAGCAAACAGGAUUAGAAACCCUAGUAGUCC
RNAcentral lists this ribosomal RNA (274 nucleotides) under uncultured bacterium. RNAcentral's name for it is "partial 16S ribosomal RNA". It matches the Rfam family "Bacterial small subunit ribosomal RNA", at positions 523 to 796 of the family's 1533-position model. The record is from RNAcentral.